UGCGUAGGUGUCUGACAAAGUUUUUGUUUAAAGGCCAAGGCUUACCCUUGGAUUUGGCAGAAAUACUCGUCAGAUUGAGGAUUGAUCGGGGUGAUAGAACAGAUAAUGUAGCAGUGAAAUGCGUUGAUAUUAUCUGGAAUACCAAAAGCGAAGGCAGUCACCUGGGUUUUUCCUGACACUGAGGCACGAAAGCUAGGGGAGCGAAACAGAUUAGAUACCUGUGUAGUCCUAGCCGUAAACGAUGCUCGCUAGCUCUUGGUCGCAAGAUCAGGGGUGUAAGCUAACGCGUUAAGCGAGCCGCCUGGGGAGUACGGUCGCAAGACUAAA
This 327-nucleotide ribosomal RNA is filed under the name uncultured bacterium. RNAcentral describes it as "bacterial SSU rRNA". It matches the Rfam family "Bacterial small subunit ribosomal RNA", at positions 568 to 898 of the family's 1533-position model. The record is from RNAcentral.